Molecule: ribosomal RNA, 205 nt
Filed under: Clostridioides difficile
Lineage: Bacteria; Bacillati; Bacillota; Clostridia; Peptostreptococcales; Peptostreptococcaceae
Description: partial 16S ribosomal RNA
Rfam family: Bacterial small subunit ribosomal RNA
Source: RNAcentral
UGCCUAACACAUGCAAGUUGAGCGAUUUACUUCGGUAAAGAGCGGCGGACGGGUGAGUAACGCGUGGGUAACCUACCCUGUACACACGGAUAACAUACCGAAGGGUAUGCUAAUACGGGAUAAUAUAUUUGAGAGGCAUCUCUUGAAUAUCAAAGGUGAGCCAGUACAGGAUGGACCCGCGUCUGAUUAGCUAGUUGGUAAGGUA